This 261-nucleotide long non-coding RNA is filed under the name Spirodela polyrhiza (greater duckweed). RNAcentral describes it as "long non-coding RNA (SPOL_LNC001102)". The record is from RNAcentral. Lineage: Eukaryota; Viridiplantae; Streptophyta; Magnoliopsida; Alismatales; Araceae.
GGUUGGAUAGUGGGUUGCUGCUCUCAAUUGAUGUCUCGUGCACUACCAUAACACUUAACAUGCCCUUGUUUAUAUGAGAAGGGUAAUCAUUCACAUGAUGUGGUCUUGUAUAAAGAAAAAAACCCUACUUGUGUGGCUGUCAUAACAAGCAAUGGUAAUAGAAAACUUGGCUGCCAUCUAACUACUACUACCUAUGGUUGUUCCUAUAGUGGUCUUACUUCCCUCCAUAAUCUUUAUCAUAAGCAACAUUUUAGCCACCAC